RNAcentral lists this ribosomal RNA (42 nucleotides) under Begonia austrotaiwanensis. RNAcentral describes it as "partial 28S ribosomal RNA". Lineage: Eukaryota; Viridiplantae; Streptophyta; Magnoliopsida; Cucurbitales; Begoniaceae. The record is from RNAcentral.
GCAAACCUAGGUAGGCAGGAUUACCCGCUGAAUUUAAGCAUA